AAUCAACGCUGGCGGCGUGCCUAACACAUGCAAGUCGAACGCGAAAGUGGAGCAAUCCAUGAGUAGAGUGGCAAACGGGUGAGUAACGCGUGGGCGACCUGCCUUCGAGUGGGGGAUAACAUUCCGAAAGGGAUGCUAAUACCGCAUAACAUCCUUCGUUUAGAUACGAGGUGAUCAAAGCCGGGAGCAAUUCUGGCGCUUAAAGAGGGGCCCGCGUCCGAUUAGCAGUUGGUGGGGUAACGGCCUACCAAGGCUUCGAUCGGUAUCCGGCCUGAGAGGGCGGACGGACACACUGGAACUGAGACACGGUCCAGACUCCUACGGGAGGCAGCAGUGGGGAAUUGUUCGCAAUGGGCGCAAGCCUGACGACGCAACGCCGCGUGGAGGAUGAAGACCUC
Molecule: ribosomal RNA, 398 nt
Filed under: uncultured bacterium
Lineage: Bacteria
Description: bacterial SSU rRNA
Rfam family: Bacterial small subunit ribosomal RNA
Source: RNAcentral